GCAAGCAGCCGCGGUAAUACGGAGGGUGCGAGCGUUAAUCGGAAUUACUGGGCGUAAAGCGCAUGCAGGUGGUUUGUUAAGUCAGAUGUGAAAGCCCGGGGCUCAACCUCGGAAUUGCAUUUGAAACUGGCAAACUAGAGUACUGUAGAGGGGGGUAGAAUUUCAGGUGUAGCGGUGAAAUGCGUAGAGAUCUGAAGGAAUACCGGUGGCGAAGGCGGCCCCCUGGACAGAUACUGACACUCAGAUGCGAAAGCGUGGGGAGCAAACAGGAUUAGAUACCCUGGUAGUCCACGCCGUAAACGAUGUCUACUUGGAGGUUGUGGCCUUGAGCCGUGGCUUUCGGAGCUAACGCGUUAAGUAGACCGCCUGGGGAGUACGGUCGCAAGAUUAAAACUCAAAUGAAUUGACGGGGGCCCGCACAAGCGGUGGAGCAUGUGGUUUAAUUCGAUGCAACGCGAAGAACCUUACCUACUCUUGACAUCUACAGAAGCCAGCGGAGACGCAGGUGUGCCUUCGGGAACUGUAAGACAGGUGCUGCAUGGCUGUCGUCAGCUCGUGUUGUGAAAUGUUGGGUUAAGUCCCGCAACGAGCGCAACCCUUAUCCUUGUUUGCCAGCACUUCGGGUGGGAACUCCAGGGAGACUGCCGGUGAUAAACCGGAGGAAGGUGGGGACGACGUCAAGUCAUCAUGGCCCUUACGAGUAGGGCUACACACGUGCUACAAUGGCGCAUACAGAGGGCGGCCAACUUGCGAAAGUGAGCGAAUCCCAAAAAGUGCGUCGUAGUCCGGAUUGGAGUCUGCAACUCGACUCCAUGAAGUCGGAAUCGCUAGUAAUCGUGGAUCAGAAUGCCACGGUGAAUACGUUCCCGGGCCUUGUACACACCGCCCGUCACACCAUGGGAGUGGGCUGCAAAAGAAGUGGGUAGUUUAACCUUCGGGAGGACGCUCACCACUUUGUGGUUCAUGACUGGGGUGAAGUCGUAACAAGGUAACCG
Molecule: ribosomal RNA, 995 nt
Filed under: uncultured bacterium
Lineage: Bacteria
Description: bacterial SSU rRNA
Rfam family: Bacterial small subunit ribosomal RNA
Source: RNAcentral